Molecule: long non-coding RNA, 263 nt
Organism: Seriola dumerili (greater amberjack)
Lineage: Eukaryota; Metazoa; Chordata; Actinopteri; Carangiformes; Carangidae
Exons: 3
Source: RefSeq, a predicted model, not a curated record
CCUGUCCUCGUGCCUCUGCCAGCUGUGUCCUCGCGCUCAUCAUCCAUCAGUCCGACAGAGCAGCCAAGGCUCACGGGAAACAGCUGGAUCCAUUAUCUGGGUUUGUUCUGGUCUUGGUCUCAGUUCGGCCUCAUCACUGAACUCCCGCCCUGUACCUGGACGGUGACGGAGGAGGUCUGAACGCCAGGCAGCGCGUGAAGCAGCGCGUGAGGCAGCGACGAGUCUACUCAUCAUCAUCACCAUCAUCAUCAUCAUCAUCAUCA